GAAAUGCGAUAAGUAAUGUGAAUUGCAGAAUUCAGUGAAUCAUCGAAUCUUUGAACGCACAUUGCGCCCGCCAGUAUUCUGGCGGGCAUGCCUGUCCGAGCGUCAUUUCAACCAUCAAGCCCCCGGGCUUGUGUUGGGGACCUGCGGCUGCCCGCAGGCCCUUAAAACCAGUGGCGGGCUCGCUGUCACACCGAGCGUAGUAGCAAUCACCUCGCUCAGGGCGUGCUGCGGGUUCCGGCCGUUAAACAGCCUUACAAAACCCAAGGUUGACCUCGGAUCAGGUAGGAAGACCCGCUGAACUUAAGC
This 306-nucleotide unclassified non-coding RNA is filed under the name plant metagenome. RNAcentral's name for it is "partial contains 5.8S ribosomal RNA, internal transcribed spacer 2, and large subunit ribosomal RNA". The stretch from base 1 to 105 matches the Rfam family "5.8S ribosomal RNA", at positions 50 to 154 of the family's 154-position model. The record is from RNAcentral.